GUCCACGCCGUAAACGAUGAUAACUAGCUGUCCGGGCACUUGGUGCUUGGGUGGCGCAGCUAACGCAUUAAGUUAUCCGCCUGGGGAGUACGGUCACAAGAUUAAAACUCAAAGGAAUUGACGGGGGCCUGCACAAGCGGUGGAGCAUGUGGUUUAAUUCGAAGCAACGCGCAGAACCUUACAAGCGUUUGACAUCCCGCGCUAUCCUGAGAGAUCAGGGGUUCCCUUCGGGGACGCGGUGACAGGUGCUGCAUGGCUGUCGU
RNAcentral lists this ribosomal RNA (263 nucleotides) under uncultured bacterium. Its description in RNAcentral is "partial 16S ribosomal RNA". It matches the Rfam family "Bacterial small subunit ribosomal RNA", at positions 793 to 1055 of the family's 1533-position model. The record is from RNAcentral.